This 468-nucleotide ribosomal RNA is filed under the name uncultured bacterium. RNAcentral's name for it is "partial 16S ribosomal RNA". It matches the Rfam family "Bacterial small subunit ribosomal RNA", at positions 28 to 507 of the family's 1533-position model. The record is from RNAcentral.
GACGAACGCUGGCGGCGUGCUUAACACAUGCAAGUCGAACGGAAAGGCCCUGCUUUUGUGGGGUGCUCGAGUGGCGAACGGGUGAGUAACACGUGAGUAACCUGCCCUUGACUUUGGGAUAACUUCAUGAAACUGGGGCUAAUACCGGAUAGGAGCUCCUGCUGCAUGGUGGGGGUUGGAAAGUUUCGGCGGUUGGGGAUGGACUAGCGGCUUAUCAGCUUGUUGGUGGGGUAGUGGCUUACCAAGGCUUUGACGGGUAGCCGGCCUGAGAGGGUGACCGGCCAAACUGGGACUGAGAUACGGCACAGACCACUACGGGACGCAGGAGUGGGGAAGAGUGCACAAUGGGAGGAAGCCUGAUGCAGCAACGCCGCGCGCGGGAUGACGGCAUUCGGGUUGUAAACCGCUUCCGCCUGUGACGAAGCGUGAGUGACGGUAAUGGGUAAAGAAGCACCGGCUAACUACGUG